Molecule: long non-coding RNA, 289 nt
Filed under: Trifolium pratense (red clover)
Lineage: Eukaryota; Viridiplantae; Streptophyta; Magnoliopsida; Fabales; Fabaceae
Description: long non-coding RNA (TPRA_LNC009642)
Source: RNAcentral
CGUCUUCGUUGCUUUGCCGUUGUUCGGCGUUGCCGUCUUUUACCUUGCUGAAUCAAUUUUCUGUGUAAAUUGGAUAACUUUCCAUUGUGAAUUGAAUCAAUUGAUUUUCAGUUGGCCACUAAGAAAAACCUCCAUACAGACAAUGAUGGAAUUAUGUUUGGUUUGCAGAAGUUUCCAUUGGAUUGGAUACUGUUAAGCUCUCAAAAGGUCACAGUUUUGCUUUGAAUGUUUACCAAUAGCUCUCAAAAGAUUUUUCUGCUGAACUUUUAUUUUAGAUUUUGAUAUGGUG